GACGAAGGGGGCUAGCGUUGUUCGGAAUUACUGGGCGUAAAGCGCGUGUAGGCGGUUGUCCAAGUUGGAUGUGAAAGCCUUGAGCUCAACUCAAGAAAUGCAUUCAGGACUGAAUGACUAGAGGACCGGAGAGGAUAGUGGAAUUCCCAGUGUAGUGGUGAAAUACGUAGAGAUUGGGAAGAACACCAGUGGCGAAGGCGGCUAUCUGGACGGUUUCUGACGCUAAGACGCGAAAGCGUGGGGAGCAAACAGG
This 253-nucleotide ribosomal RNA is filed under the name uncultured bacterium. RNAcentral describes it as "partial 16S ribosomal RNA". It matches the Rfam family "Bacterial small subunit ribosomal RNA", at positions 524 to 776 of the family's 1533-position model. The record is from RNAcentral.